Musa acuminata AAA Group (dessert banana) is the source of this 2777-nucleotide long non-coding RNA. RefSeq lists it as uncharacterized. The transcript is spliced from 4 exons. The record is from RefSeq and is a predicted model, not a curated record. Lineage: Eukaryota; Viridiplantae; Streptophyta; Magnoliopsida; Zingiberales; Musaceae.
UGCGUCUUUAAACUCCGUGAACGGACCCAACGGAACGGUGAACAGAAAACGGAAGCCAUGGCGGCGGCUUAAGAGAGAGAGAGAGGGAGAGGAGGAGGAAGAGGAAGAGGAAGUGGCGGCGCAUGUGUACAUGUGACCGACAGCGGUCGGAGAAGGCCUACGGCGCCAUCGUUCACAUCAACCGCUUCUUCAAGGACGGCAUCUGCCACAGCGCCAUCCAGGUAAUGUUGCUGCUCGUACACAGCGAACAUGGUAUAGAAAUCUCUCCAAAAACACAGGCAUGAGGCCAUCCACCAGCAAUUCAAGCCUCCCUGAGAAUUCUGAGGAUGAAUAACCCAAAGAUGAACACAUCAGCAGCAGCAACAGCAGAGAAAAUUUUCAUCCGUGCAACUCAACCUCAAGGAAAAGUGAAUUAAUUUUAUUGUAACAUUUCAGAAUAAUUAUGUGGCAUUACUUUCCACCUCUGAUCAUUUACACUAAUGGCUCCAGUGAAAAAUGGUUCUUCAACAAGGUCAUUUACUGAGAAAUGUGGUAUGGCACUAAGUAGCAUGGAUGUAAUUAGUGCGUUUGAAUAGCUGCUUUUGGACUUCACCUGUCCUCUCCUUGGUAUAAGCCAACCCCACAUGUGAUCUUGGACCACUGAAAGUAUUGCUAAGGACAUCACCAUAAUUACUAACUGCCAGAUUGAAGUUAUGAUGAGGGUUUUAGGUCAUUGAUGGUUUCAGAAGCCUAGACUUUCUAUUCUAUCAUCAUGCUUAUAUAGAUCAUUUAACAGGAUCCUGCUAAAAUGUGAGCUAGGUUGGUCUAUCAAGGAGUAACAGUUCUUUGGUACUGGUUUUCUGGUGGGGAGACAUGUCAUUAAAAACUCUCAUAAUGCUGAAAAAGAUGCAUACCAUUUACUUUCUGCUGAUGUUCUCGAUUUUGUCUAUCAUAAGAGGUUAUGCUUCACCUGGUUGGUAGAGGAGGUACAUUAUAGAUUGUUUACGAACAUAUAAUGACUUUCUGGUUUCUUCGAUUGCGUUGCCAAUUGUGAGGUUGUGUUUUCAUCAGUGAAGUCAAUUCAACCUCCACUGCUAGCUUGCUAGUGCUUCACAGUUCAGAGGCACUCCAAGAUUUAGUUCAUGGCACAAAAAUUCAGAGAACAAACAGAAUGCAGCCCCAAGCACAAGAUCUGAUCACGGGUUUCAUGUAAAACUCUUUAUCAUUGAUCAUUUACAUCACCAACAUGACAAAAAGCAAAUGCCAAAAGAAAGGUGUCUACCUAGAAGAGUUACACACAGAACCCAUCAUUUGUGAUGUGGAAGUUGAGGUAAGGCCCUGAGAAGCAUCGAGGUGAUGGAGUGCAGUGCAGUGGCUGCUAUUCUACUCUUUAUUUGUCCUCGCCGUGGUAUAAGUCGCCUUCCUCCUGACCUCCUAUUCACUGAAGCAGUGGCAAGAAAAGCAGUAAAUAUCUUGCUCAUGGUGAGAAAUGCUGGCAAGCAGCGCUGCAGGCUUUCAGACUUUGGUGGUUUUUGGGACUCUCUGUAUGCUGUCAUCUUCAGUUUCAAGCUAUAUAUAGGGAUCAUACAGUACAACCAGGAUCUUUUAAAAUAUCUGCAAGGCUGGAUACUGGUGGUGAGACAUGCCAGCAAAAUUUCUCCUAUUUCUAAUUCAAUUUGGCUCUGAUUCCAUACAGAAGGAUAACUCUGAUCUGUUGUGGCUUCUUCCAUUAGUUCAAAUAUGACAGAUGACAUUCAUGUGUUCAUAAUUCAGAAAGGUUGGGUCUGCUUGUAUUCUGUUGGCAACUCCUGGUUUUAUUCAUGGAUCAGUCGAAGCUGGACUUCGAAAGUGAUUAGGUUUGCCUCUGUCUGCAACUACUGCCACUAACAGGAGGCUAUGGAUACCCAUGGAACAAGGUUUUCUAGAGCAGAACAUAUGAUAUUUUAUUCUUGCAAUGAGGCUUCCAGUUUCUGUAGCUCCUUGAGAUCAUAAAGAAGUAGAUUUCUGUCUCCCUACCUUAAAUUAAUAAUUAAUUAUAAAGCCUUGACUUCUGCAAGCCUAUGGCUUUAAAGAAAUAUGAACAAGAUGGAGAGGCUGUAAUGGAUGGAACUCUCUUCUGAGGAUCUUCCAACAUGUCACAUGCAAAUGAACUCGAACUCUGCUGAGAAACAAAGAAGUAAAGAAUGAUUGAUAUUAUGCUUCAAAACAACAGGCAGUUGAAAGUUUCAAGCCCAAUGGUGCAUGCACAGAGCCUACAUUAUGAUUGGAAUGAGAAGCGACCAUGAAGCAUCUCGCUUCGGAACUGGUGAUGCAUAUAUAACCACAACCAGGACUACUCCUCAGAGCAACUGGAUCAACUCUCUACAAUGGCGAAUGUGGGCAAUGACUCGAAUGCAGAGUCUCUUCUUGGAGAGGGAAGGUCACCCAAUUGCCACAAGCAUCAGUUAAACAAGUGGGGCUUGAUGGGAUCAUCAAUCAUACAACGGAUGUUCAGCAUUGUCCCCAGCAUCCCUUCAUCAGCAAGGAAGAAGAAGAAAAAGUCUUUCUGCAGACUCAUCUCAUGCUGAUGUUUCCAGUUGGUUUAUUGGAUAAUUGGUGAUCAAAUUCCUCAUUGGAGGAUCAACUUGAAUUCUUAUUCGUGUUGAGAGGUCCUUCUUGUAGCUCACCUGUUUUGUGUCGUCUUUUGUGGUCAGUUUGCUAUCUCAGCUGUGUUCUACAGAACCAGAUCAGUUCAGUUCCAUAUAACAAUUCCAAGAAAAAUAAUCGGCAUUUGAUCUAGUAAAUUCAGAUAUGGUUGC